RNAcentral lists this ribosomal RNA (1086 nucleotides) under Triticum aestivum (bread wheat). RNAcentral describes it as "partial small subunit ribosomal RNA". The record is from RNAcentral. Lineage: Eukaryota; Viridiplantae; Streptophyta; Magnoliopsida; Poales; Poaceae.
AUGCUCCUCUCCGGGCCGCAGCCGCCUACCCCGCCGCUGCUGCUCCCGGAGAGCAGCGGCGAGGACGGCGGCGCCCACGACCACGACUCCUCCUCGCGGGCCUCGGCCCCGAAGAAGCGCGCCGAGACCUGGGUCCAGGACGAGACGCUCAGCCUCAUCGCGCUGCGGCGCGAGAUGGACAACCACUUCAACACCUCCAAGUCCAACAAGCACCUCUGGGAGGCCAUCUCCGCCAAGAUGCGGGAGCAGGGCUUCGACCGCUCCCCGACCAUGUGCACCGACAAGUGGCGCAACCUCCUCAAGGAGUUCAAGAAGGCGCGCAGCCACGCCCGCAGCAGCGCCGGCGCCGGCGGGAACGGCUCUGCCAAGAUGGCCUACUACAAGGAGAUCGACGACCUGCUCAAGCGCCGCGGGAAGGCGGCCGCCUCGCCCGCGGGGAGUGGUGGUGGAGGUGGCGCCGCGAAGAGCCCCACGCCCACCUCCAAGAUCGAGUCUUACCUGCAAUUCGCGGAUAAAGGUUUUGAAGAUGCCAACAUUCCAUUUGGCCCUGUUGAAGCGAGUCAUCCACUUGCCUUAACGACAGCUGAUGCAGUUGCAACCAAUGGUGUGAAUCCAUGGAACUGGAGAGACACCUCAACUAAUGGUGGAGAUAAUCAAGGUACUUAUGGUGGGAGGGUCAUCCUAGUCAAGUGGGGUGACUAUACUAAAAGAAUAGGGAUUGAUGGUACUGCCGAGGCAAUUAAAGAGGCCAUCAAAUCGGCCUUUGGAUUAAGAACAAGGCGAGCUUUUUGGCUUGAAGAUGAGGACGAGGUUGUUCGUUCCUUGGACAGGGACAUGCCAGUCGGAGUAUAUACUCUUCAUCUUGAUAAUGGGAUAACAAUCAAACUCUGCACAUUUGAAGAUGCAGACCGCAUGACAGUCCGGACAGAAGAUAAGACAUUCUACACUGAAGACGACUUCAGAGAUUUUCUAUCACGGCGUGGUUGGACACUCCUCAGGGAGUAUAGUGGCUACAGAGUUGCUGAUACUCUGGACGAUCUUCGCCCUGGCGUGAUUUACCAGGGGAUGCGCUCGCUUGUAGAUUGA